GACGAACGCUGGCGGCGUGCCUAAUACAUGCAAGUCGAACGGAGAGUUUCUGGUGCUUGGGCGUGCAAAAAUUAGGGGCGAACGGGUGAGAAACAAGUAAAGAACCCGCCUCAUUGAGAGGGACUCAGAUAGGAAACGAUAACACAGAACGGGAGACAGUGCUUCAUGGAUGGGGGAGAAAUGAAAGGGGGGUUGGGUAAGAACACGAGGCGGCUUUGCGGGUCAGUAGCUAGUUGGUGGGGUAAAGGCUCAACAAGGAGACGAUGCAAAGCCGACCCGGGAGGCUGAUCGGCCACACUGGGACUGAGACACGGCCCAGACUCCUACGGGAGGCAGCAGUAGGGAAUCUUCCGCAAUGGGCGAAAGCCUUACGGAGCAACGCCGCGUGAGUGAAGAAGGAUUUCGGUUCGUAAAGCUCUGUUGUUAGGGAAGAAUGGAUUUGUAGUAACUAUACAUGUAAGAGACGGUACCUAACCAGAAAGCCACGGCUAACUACGUG
This 499-nucleotide ribosomal RNA is filed under the name uncultured bacterium. RNAcentral describes it as "partial 16S ribosomal RNA". It matches the Rfam family "Bacterial small subunit ribosomal RNA", at positions 28 to 507 of the family's 1533-position model. The record is from RNAcentral.